UCGCGUUCUUUUUGCGGCCCGCCGCGUGGCUGGGAGUCAUGGCGGCGGCGGGUAGGCUCAGUCUUAGGGCGGCGGUAAGGCUGCGGAGAUGGGAAAUGGGAUCGCCCUUGACACGGCGCUAAUCCACUUGCCUUCUCAGAGCCUCCUCUUCCUCAGAGGAGAAAUGGUGGCGAUAAGGCCGAUCUUCCCCCUCCUAGGUAACUGGGAGAAUUAAUGAGAUACUGGAUGAGAAAACGCGGCCCAGGCGUCGAGGGCUGAUGUUAUGUGGAGGCAGGGAGCGAGCUCAAGUCCGUCUCUGACGCCAAAGAGCCCCUUUUGGGAGACGGGCUGCAGCCUGUGCGAUCCCCUGUGCCUCCUGUGUGCUGUCUACCCUGGCCGCCCAGUGGGCGAACGAUCUGAGAGUGCAGUUUUUCAUGCAGCAUCGGGAGUCUUAACAGGCCUUUUUUUGGCAUCUGAAGAGAUGGGGAGAAGCAGAGCUGCGGGUUAAAAAUAAUGGAGAAACCCUGAAAAUGAGUACGAAUGGGUGCCCCUGGACCUGGGUGGUCACCAAAAAUGAGGAACUAGAGCUGGCGUGAAGGCCUGUCGUAAAUAUCUACCUCAUACUUUGUUCAGAAUUAAAGUUGCUGACGGUGGCUCUGAAAAAGCCACAUGAAAACCAUCACCUUAAGAUGUUGAGUAUAAGAAGCUUCGUGGUAAAAUACCUGUAGACGGUUAAAUGUGCUGACUGUGGACUUUGAGAAAUUCACAUGAAAACUGUCACCUUAAGACGUUGAAUAUAAGGAGCUUCGUGAUAAAAUACCUGUAGAUGGUUAAAGGUGCUGACUAUGGACUUUGAAAAAUUCACAUGAAAACCUUCACCUCAAGAUGUUGAGUAUAAGGAGCUUCGUGAUAAAAUACCUGUGCAGUUUGGGCCACCACUUCUGAGGAUGAACCGCAUCCCUCAGGAGGAGAAGCAACUAGCUGCAGUAGGGUCUGCCACCCUGGGCUGGGAGCUGAGCACUGAGACUGGAGCUGAGCCAGAUGUUGCUCCUGUGCGGAAGCAGAGAGGGUCCAAACAGGGAAACGAAUGAGCUCUUGGAAGCUGAGAUGGGAACGUGGAAUGUAGGCCAGCUGUCGUGGUGAAGGUGCCCGUGACCCUCUGACCCCCACCUCAGGAGAAGGUGCCGUGGUGUUGGCAGAGCGAUUCAGUUGCCAGGUGCUUUGUUACUGCACAGGGAGCUCUCCUGAGAAAUGUCUGGCUCUGCUGGCGCGGGGCUGCUCCUAAACAGGAGCAUGUGAACAGCCAAGUGGCACUUGGAGGGCUCUGGCUUUGUUUCCAUGUAAAUGCCAGGCCUGAGACGGGCACAGAAAGAUGGCUGUCUUUUCUCCUGAAGUUGUGGGGCGUGUGCCCACUCUAAGGUCACAGUUUCUGUUCGAUCACCAGGGGGCUGUGUUUGGGCCAAGCUUUCAUGAGCUUGAAAACUGGCCCCAGCAGCUUCCUGCCUGCAAGUGAAACAAAGUGGAAGGGCAUACCAACAGUGAGAAAAUCUGCUUCCCCGGUUCCCCUCUACUACUGAGUAGACUUGACUGCUCACAGAUGCCUCAUCAACCUUUAGGUUUGACUUUAAGGCUUUGCAUCUCGAGGGGCUCUGCGGGAGACCUGUCAGGGCUCCCUCAGCACUGGCUCCUACAGGCUGCAUUGUGGAGCCACCCUGGGAUGGCACCAGCUUGCUCUGAGGCCACGUGAUGGUGCCUGGACUGUGGGCCCCUCUCCCUAGCGGAGGCAUAUGCGUCACACAGGAUUGGUUGGAAUGGGUGCUCCUAAACUGCCCUUUCCCCUAACUCCAUCAUCCUUUGCAUUCAGCUUUCAGCUUUGAAUCAGUUGACCAUUAUUUCAAAUUGUUGUUCUUCGGCUUUACAGGUCGUGGCCUCACUUUGGACUGUGUGCCCCUUUGUGCUGUGACUCCAGGCACAGGACUUGUGCUCCUGGCCUCAGACCUGUUCACAGAGGUGACCGAUACAGCUCUGCUACUAACAGCCAGAGGAAAAGGGAGAAUCAUUCAGGAGCUCUGUGUGCUUCAUUUUCAGAAGUAGCCAAGGAGUUCAGCAGUGAGAUCCCAGAAAGCCAUUGGCAGGUAGUGAGAUAAGGGCCUAGCUGGGUGUGUUCUCACAGGUGGGGAGGACAGGGGGAUUGUAAAUGGAGGCUCAGGAGUUACCACAUAUGUACUCUGUUGGAAGAAGGCUGUAGGGGGAACAGGUGCUCAGCCUAGAGAAACAUUUCUGGAGUGGAUUUUGAAACACAAAUAAAAGUUUUUUUUUUUAACCUGA
This is a long non-coding RNA of Loxodonta africana (African savanna elephant), 2307 nucleotides long. RefSeq lists it as uncharacterized. The transcript is spliced from 7 exons. The record is from RefSeq and is a predicted model, not a curated record. Lineage: Eukaryota; Metazoa; Chordata; Mammalia; Proboscidea; Elephantidae.